UGGGGGAUAGUUCAACGGCAGAACAGCAGGUUCUGGCCCUGUCGAUCUUGGUUCGAAUCCAGGUCCCCCAG
RNAcentral lists this transfer RNA (71 nucleotides) under Anaerolineae bacterium. Its description in RNAcentral is "tRNA-Gln". It matches the Rfam family "tRNA". Rfam says of the family: Transfer RNA (tRNA) molecules are approximately 80 nucleotides in length. Their secondary structure includes four short double-helical elements and three loops (D, anti-codon, and T loops). Further hydrogen bonds mediate the characteristic L-shaped molecular structure. tRNAs have two regions of fundamental functional importance: the anti-codon, which is responsible for specific mRNA codon recognition, and the 3' end, to which the tRNAs corresponding amino acid is attached (by aminoacyl-tRNA synthetases). tRNAs cope with the degeneracy of the genetic code in two manners: having more than one tRNA (with a specific anti-codon) for a particular amino acid; and 'wobble' base-pairing, i.e. permitting non-standard base-pairing at the 3rd anti-codon position. Lineage: Bacteria; Bacillati; Chloroflexota; Anaerolineae. The record is from RNAcentral. RNAcentral also lists the same sequence under 1 other name.